This 973-nucleotide long non-coding RNA is filed under the name Homo sapiens (human). RNAcentral's name for it is "HSALNT0337334". The record is from RNAcentral. Lineage: Eukaryota; Metazoa; Chordata; Mammalia; Primates; Hominidae.
GCCGCGGCCAGCUCCGCUCGCUCUGCUCACCUGCGCCCCUGCCCACGGCGCUCCGCAGUCAGGAGCGCCCCGCCCCGCGGGGAACGCCCCGGGCCCCUCGGGGUCCCCCUGCUCUCUCCUACUUCCCUUCUGGAAGGUGGCCAACACUUCUGGGCCGCCCGGGUGGACCUCAAAUAGAACGUCUUUAAAUGUCCGGUGGCCAAGGGUUCUGUAGCCGACUAGGAGUCAGCGUCCGACUCGGAACAACUCAAGACCUCUUUUCAGGGGGCGUCCAGGUUGUUAUGAGGCUCAAAGGAACGGCUGCUGUGAAAAAACAUGCUUUGCAAUUUAUGAAGCACUGGAUAAACAUCAGGAACGGUAUAAAAGCAUGCUGCUUACUCAAGAAAUACUAGUUGAGUGCCUGUGUGUUGGGCACUGGCUAGAGAUAAGGGUCUCCUAUGGACAGAAGUGCGGGCAAGGAGCUUUGUUCCUCCCCGAUGUCACCCUCCCACAGCCCACUUGCUAGCAGGCAAGAGAGGGGUGGAGGCCGGCAGUAAGGCAUGUACUGAACUGGACCUCUGGUGGAAUGGGUCACCCACGCUGGGCUUGACUCUUACCAUCAGGGUCCUGCCAACCCUUCAGUGAGACUUUUUCCGAAGAAUCCCUUUUAAAAUGACCUCAAGCUGACCUUCCUGAUGCAGAUUCCACAUAUGGUAUCUGAGACUCACACAGUGUGGUUGGAAGAUAGCACAGUGACCUCCCAGGCACAGCCCUCUGCCAGCCCUCCACUGGCUGCCCUAGGAUGCUGGCCUUCCUCCGAUGGGAGUCGGGCCCAGUCUGCUGUGAGCCAGGAGAAGCCAGCAAGCUCCCUGCGAGGCCUGGAGGAGCCCUUCUCACUCAGCUUGGUGUUCGAUGCCAGUGCCCCCGCCCAUUGUGGGGUGAGGGUGGGACUCUCAGCACAGCCCUGUCCAAAUAAAUCCUCUAAAGCCCUCUU